GACAAACGCUGCAUUUAAUGUAGAGGAAAGUCCAUGCUUGCACUAUCCUGAGAUGGUAGUAGUGAUUGUGCAUAGGGAAAAAAUAACCUAUGGUAGGUAAUUACCUAACGGCGUCGAAAUUGUCCUAUAAGGAUUAAAUUAGACAUAAAGUGCCACAGAAACGAUGCUUCUAGUAAUAGAAGAAUGAAACGCGGUAAACCCCACAAGCAAGAAACCCAAAUUAUGGUAGGGGAGUUUAAAGUAGGGAAUCAAACUUACUUUAGAACCAGUAAUGGUAGAUAGAUGUUUGUCGCUCACUAGUGAGUACAGAACAUGGCUUAUAA
This 323-nucleotide RNase P RNA is filed under the name chicken gut metagenome. Its description in RNAcentral is "Bacterial RNase P class B". It matches the Rfam family "Bacterial RNase P class B". From Rfam's summary of the family: Ribonuclease P (RNase P) is a ubiquitous endoribonuclease, found in archaea, bacteria and eukarya as well as chloroplasts and mitochondria. The record is from RNAcentral.